ACCUCAGCAGGAGGAAGAAGGGGCCCGUGGCAUCAGACCAAUGCUGCAAGGUGUGUGAGGGAAGCAGAGGAGCCUCCCCCGUCACUGAGCUGCCAGACCCUGAAAGGAGGAUGGAGCUGGAGUGAAGUGGAAGGGCUGCCAGCUGCUGACCAGCACGUGGGACACUGGUGACUUGCAGAUCACAGAGGCUGGACCACGUUCAUGGCUCUCGGGUAG
RNAcentral lists this long non-coding RNA (216 nucleotides) under Urocitellus parryii (Arctic ground squirrel). RNAcentral describes it as "lncRNA (ENSUPAG00010002714.1)". Lineage: Eukaryota; Metazoa; Chordata; Mammalia; Rodentia; Sciuridae. The record is from RNAcentral.